Molecule: non-coding RNA, 87 nt
Organism: Cordylochernes scorpioides
Lineage: Eukaryota; Metazoa; Arthropoda; Arachnida; Pseudoscorpiones; Chernetidae
Source: the annotation of a GenBank genome assembly
GGGUAGCCUAGUGGACAUGGCACCUGCCCGGUAAGCAGAAGGUUGUGGGUUUAUGGGGACCAGGGAUGCAGCACCCCGCCGACGCCG